GUGAGGAAUAUUGGUCAAUGGGCGCAAGCCUGAACCAGCCAUGCCGCGUGCAGGAAGACGGUCCUAUGGAUUGUAAACUGCUUUUAUUUGGGAAUAAACCUCCUUACGUGUAGGGAGCUGAAGGUACCAAAUGAAUAAGCACCGGCUAACUCCGUGCCAGCAGCCGCGGUAAUACGGAGGGUGCAAGCGUUAUCCGGAAUCAUUGGGUGUAAAGGGUCCGCAGGCGGUCAUAUAAGUCAGUGGUGAAAGCCUACAGCUCAACUGUAGAACUGCCAUUGAUACUGUAUGGAUUGAAUUCGAUAGAAGUGGGCGUAAUGUGACAUGUAGCGGUGAAAUGCUUAGAUAUGUCACAGAACACCGAUAGCGAAGGCAGCUCACUAAGGCGAUACUGACGCUGAGGCACGAAAGCGUGGGGAUCGAACAGGAUUAGAAACCCCAGUAGUCC
RNAcentral lists this ribosomal RNA (445 nucleotides) under uncultured bacterium. RNAcentral describes it as "partial 16S ribosomal RNA". It matches the Rfam family "Bacterial small subunit ribosomal RNA", at positions 354 to 796 of the family's 1533-position model. The record is from RNAcentral.